UAAGGAAUAUUGGUCAAUGGAGGCAACUCUGAACCAGCCAUGCCGCGUGCAGGAUGACGGCCCUAUGGGUUGUAAACUGCUUUUGUACCAGAGAAAACCUAUCUACGUGUAGAUAGCUGAUAGUAUGGUAAGAAUAAGCAUCGGCUAACUUCGUGCCAGCAGCCGCGGUAAGACGAAGGAUGCAAGCGUUAUCCGGAUUCAUUGGGUUUAAAGGGUGCGUAGGCGGACUUGUAAGUCAGUGGUGAAAUCUCUUUGCUUAACAAAGAAACUGCCAUUGAUACUGCAGGUCUAGAGUAUAGAUGACGUUGGCGGAAUAUGACAUGUAGUGGUGAAAUACUUAGAUAUGUCAUAGAACACCGAUUGCGAAGGCAGCUAACGAAACUAUAACUGACGCUGAGGCACGAAAGUGCGGGGAUCAAACA
RNAcentral lists this ribosomal RNA (422 nucleotides) under uncultured bacterium. RNAcentral's name for it is "bacterial SSU rRNA". It matches the Rfam family "Bacterial small subunit ribosomal RNA", at positions 355 to 774 of the family's 1533-position model. The record is from RNAcentral.